RNAcentral lists this ribosomal RNA (392 nucleotides) under uncultured bacterium. RNAcentral's name for it is "partial 16S ribosomal RNA". It matches the Rfam family "Bacterial small subunit ribosomal RNA", at positions 523 to 918 of the family's 1533-position model. The record is from RNAcentral.
CUACGGGGGAUGCGAGCGUUAUCCGGAUUUAUUGGGUUUAAAGGGAGCGUAGGCGGGAGCUUAAGUCAGCGGUUAAAUGGUGCGGCUCAACCGUGCCCUGCCGUUGAAACUGGGUUUCUUGAGAGUGCAAGAGGCGGAUGGAAUUCAUGGUGUAGCGGUGAAAUGCUUAGAUAUCAUGAAGAACUCCGAUUGCGAAGGCAGUCCGCUGGGGCACGUCUGACGCUGAUGCUCGAAGGUGCGGGAAUCAAACAGGAUUAGAUACCCUGGUAGUCCGCACGGUAAACGAUGAUUACCCGCUGUCGGCGGCAGACAGUCGGCGGCCAAGCGAAAGCGAUAAGUAAUCCACCUGGGGAGUACGCCGGCAACGGUGAAACUCAAAUGAAUUGACGGGG